ACGCUAGCUACAGGCUUAACACAUGCAAGUCGAGGGGAAACGACAUUGAAGCUUGCUUCGAUGGGCGUCGACCGGCGCACGGGUGAGUAACGCGUAUCCAACCUGCCUCUGACUAAGGGAUAACCCGGCGAAAGUCGGACUAAUACCUUAUGAGGUUUUCUGCAGACAUCUAAUGAAAACGAAAGAUUUAUCGGUCAGUGAUGGGGAUGCGUCUGAUUAGCUUGUUGGCGGGGUAACGGCCCACCAAGGCGACGAUCAGUAGGGGUUCUGAGAGGAAGGUCCCCCACAUUGGAACUGAGACACGGUCCAAACUCCUACGGGAGGCAGCAGUGAGGAAUAUUGGUCAAUGGGCGAGAGCCUGAACCAGCCAAGUAGCGUGCAGGAUGACGGCCCUAUGGGUUGUAAACUGCUUUUAUGUGGGGAUAAAGUGAGCUACGUGUAGUUUAUUGCAGGUACCACAUGAAUAAGGACCGGCUAAUUCCGUGCCAGCAGCCGCGGUAAUACGGAAGGUCCAGGCGUUAUCCGGAUUUAUUGGGUUUAAAGGGAGCGUAGGCCGUGGAUUAAGCGUGUUGUGAAAUGUAGACGCUCAACGUCUGAAUUGCAGCGCGAACUGGUUCACUUGAGUAUGCACAACGUAGGCGGAAUUCGUCGUGUAGCGGUGAAAUGCUUAGAUAUGACGAAGAACUCCGAUUGCGAAGGCAGCUUACGGGAGCACAACUGACGCUGAAGCUCGAAGGUGCGGGUAUCAAACAGGAUUAGAUACCCUGGUAGUCCGCACAGUAAACGAUGGAUGCCCGUUGUUAGUUCACUUAAGAAUUAGCGACCAAGCGAAAGCAUUAAGCAUCCCACCUGGGGAGUACGCCGGCAACGGUGAAACUCAAAGGAAUUGACGGGGGCCCGCACAAGCGGAGGAACAUGUGGUUU
RNAcentral lists this ribosomal RNA (924 nucleotides) under uncultured bacterium. RNAcentral's name for it is "bacterial SSU rRNA". It matches the Rfam family "Bacterial small subunit ribosomal RNA", at positions 33 to 947 of the family's 1533-position model. The record is from RNAcentral.